RNAcentral lists this non-coding RNA (24 nucleotides) under Arabidopsis thaliana (thale cress). The record is from RNAcentral. Lineage: Eukaryota; Viridiplantae; Streptophyta; Magnoliopsida; Brassicales; Brassicaceae.
AGUUUGGAGUGGAAUAGACCGUUC